Long non-coding RNA from Gymnogyps californianus (California condor), 941 nucleotides. RefSeq lists it as uncharacterized. Lineage: Eukaryota; Metazoa; Chordata; Aves; Accipitriformes; Cathartidae. The transcript is spliced from 4 exons. The record is from RefSeq and is a predicted model, not a curated record.
GUAUUUGAGGUCUUGAAUGUCACUACUCUGAAAUGCAAUGCUCCUGGAAAUUGGUGAUUAGCUGGAAUUUUUAUAUCAAGAUUGCUUGUUUAUCAGACUGAGAAUAAGGCAUAACUUUUUGAGUCAAACAACUUCCUAGGAAAACUCAGAAAUCUAAAAGCAUAUGGUCCAACCAGAGAAUAUGGUCUUCUAGAUGCAGAAAUUUUGUUCAGAGAUUUUACUCAAGUCUAUGUUUUCUAAAGCUGUUGCUUGGCAAAAUGUCUGGGUGUUUCAUUGAUCUUGGAUUUCUGGGUCUGCAGAGAAGCAGAUGAUGUUCUUGAAGAUGUUCUGGCUGAUUUCUGAAAAAUCUCCUAUGCUGUCAAAAUUCCUGUCUUGUGGAUCCUGGGGGAAACAAAGGAAGACCCCAAGAAUUUCCAAAGUUUAACUUUAUUCCUACAAAUGACUGCUGGCUGACUGCAAAGCUACUGGAACUGUGGAGUACCUGCCCAGCCUGUGGUUGUGUUGGCAGCUGGACCUUACUAGAAAAUCAUUCAGCUGGUGGCAUUGGAAAAACUCCUUGAAGCUUGAGCUGGGUGGAAGCUCUUGGAGAGAAUGAAUUUGUGUUGCCAAACGCAAUUCUAAGGAAAAAGAAGCACAGAAACACGUGUUUGGUGAACUUCCAUUUGGGAAAGAUUCAAAUUCUUUUCUCCAAAGUGAUCUUUUGUUUUUCAGAAAAAAUUAAAUGGUAUUUGAACAAACAAUUUUAGUCUUAUCAAAACAUGAUGUCCUAAUCCACUUUGAUUUUAAGCAUUUCAAGAUGCUUGAAAAGGCAACUAAAUGGAAGUGUAGAGCCUAUGCAAACUACAUUCUUAGGAAAAAAGGCUUUUGUUCCUGUGCACUCUACCUGAAGUAAAUGAUUAGCUUUUUCUGUGCUAUAACCCAUAGGCACUACAGAGCGUGUA